RNAcentral lists this ribosomal RNA (253 nucleotides) under uncultured bacterium. RNAcentral describes it as "partial 16S ribosomal RNA". It matches the Rfam family "Bacterial small subunit ribosomal RNA", at positions 524 to 776 of the family's 1533-position model. The record is from RNAcentral.
UACGGGGGGUGCGAGCGUUGUUCGGAAUUAUUGGGCGUAAAGGGCGCGUAGGUGGCUGGGCAAGUCAAAGGUGAAAUCCCUCAGCUUAACUGAGGAACUGCCUUUGAAACUGCCCGGCUUGAGGCCGGGAGAGGGUAGCGGAAUUCCCAGUGUAGCGGUGAAAUGCGUAGAUAUUGGGAGGAAUACCGGUGGCGAAGGCGGCUCCCUGGACCGGUACUGACGCUGAGGCGCGAAAGCGUGGGUAGCAAACAGG